ACACCUUGUCCAUCAAGUGAAGCAUGGUUCAAACAUGAAGAAUGAUCAUCCUUGCAAGAACAGGAUGGAACCUUUUCUUGCCUUACAACAUCAGAACUGAAUCCGGAGUUGAGUGGCUGCUCAAAACUAGUUGGAAAAGAAUUCAGGUGAGCUGAAUUUUUUGCUCCAAAAUCUGGCAGGUGAGAUGGCUGAUUUGAGUCCAGAAUAUCUGGUGGGAGUCUAGAUGAAGAACCCACCUUCCCAGAUAGACCAUACACGUUAUCAAUAGCAGAGGGAUCCAAACCAUAGGGUGGUUGCUGCUGCUGCAGAUAUUCAGAGCCAACAGUA
This 327-nucleotide long non-coding RNA is filed under the name Populus trichocarpa (black cottonwood). RNAcentral's name for it is "long non-coding RNA (PTRI_LNC001862)". The record is from RNAcentral. Lineage: Eukaryota; Viridiplantae; Streptophyta; Magnoliopsida; Malpighiales; Salicaceae.